UUGAAGCAAACAUCCCGCAUCGCUAUUGGACCUCUGAGACUUUCUACUUUAACAGUUUCACAGUCUUUGCCAGUUCUAAGUACCUUGCAGCUGUAUUGCUCGUCUGCUUUGGAGACCACAGUUUCUAACAGACUUUCAACAGAGGACUGUCUUAUUCCACUCUUCGGCGAAGCUUUACGUUCAUGUAAACAGCAUGACGUGAGGCCGUGGAUGCAGGCAUUAAGGUAUACUGUGUACCAGAAUCAGUUGUUGGAGAAAAUUAAAGUAUGAUCUCGUGAAAUCUUGAGAGAAACUGAAUGACGAAUGAAACUAUUGUUCCUGUUUCACACAGAAGAAAACUGAGGUUGGCACUCAUCAUGAGCCCCUGUUCUCAUUCUGCAAAUGGUGAAGCUCUCUAUUGUCCUGACCCCACAGUUCCUGUCCCAUGACCAGGGCCAGCUCACCAAGGAGCUGCAGCAGCAUGUAAAGUCAGUGACAUGCCCAUGCGAGUACCUGAGGAAGGUUAUCAAUACUCUGGCUGACCAUCAUCAUCGUGGGACUGACUUUGGUGGAAGUCCUUGGUUACAUGUCAUUAUUGCGUU
RNAcentral lists this long non-coding RNA (581 nucleotides) under Homo sapiens (human). RNAcentral describes it as "non-protein coding lnc-NPIPB3-2:4". Lineage: Eukaryota; Metazoa; Chordata; Mammalia; Primates; Hominidae. The record is from RNAcentral.